This 284-nucleotide long non-coding RNA is filed under the name Sinocyclocheilus anshuiensis. Its description in RNAcentral is "lncRNA (ENSSANG00000006595.1)". Lineage: Eukaryota; Metazoa; Chordata; Actinopteri; Cypriniformes; Cyprinidae. The record is from RNAcentral.
GUUUGUACCGUCCCCUCAGAGCCUGUAACAAUUAAAGAGAAUAACACCGCUGACACAGUCGUUGUUCAUAUUAACACAACAACAAAGGAUGUAACGCUGAAUCUCACAGAGAAUCCUGGGAAUGCCUUCAAUCUGAGAGGUUCAGAAUUGAUAGCAAAGAAAGGCCUGGACUUUGAAACACUUUCAGGUCCCGAAGAACUAACUGUCCAGAUCCGAUGUAAUAAAACUGGCUACAGAAGUAUCACUCUGACUGUGAUUGUUCGUGUUGUGAAUAUCAAUGACAA